CAGCCGCCCCCGCCCGCGCCCUCCCCCUCCAGCCCCGGGCGGCCCGCGAGGCGCCCCCCGGGGCCUCUUAAAGGAACACGCACACUCGGCCCCCGGGGCUCCGCCAGGGGAGGGGGUUCCUGGGAAGGGGGAGGGGGCCGGCCUAGGUGGGGGAGGGGCCCAGCGGAGGCCUCACGGCGCCGCUCCAGGGCCUCCCAGGCCUCCCCAGCGCCAGCUUUCGGCCGGUACCUGGGUUCCCGGCUAAGGAAAGCUGCCCUGGUUAUUAUCUGGUCACCUCACCGGCUGCGCAAACGUGUCCACAACGGGUCCCUCCCCGAGAGGCCACAUCUCGCCUAAGGUGGAGCCAGCAGGUAUUUGCCUGUGGAAAACUGCAGUGGAUCCUGCCCCGUCUGCGUAGACUGCGCAGCUCGGAGUCAAAGAUUCGUUCUGGCCAGAGAGGAGGUACUAAGAGAGGUGCGACCUAGCCAAGAACGAGGUCGUGGAGAAAACCCUGUGGGGGCGGCGCUCACAUAUGCGGUGAUGAGGAGUUGUGAGGGCCCUGGGGUCGGCCCCGAAAAGUAGGGAUAACGGUCGCAGAGGCCAUACUGCUUCCGCCGGUCCCGAAUCCGCACUGCCAGGAGAGAUCCGGCCUUCAAACGCUGCUCCCAACGUUCAACAACGAAGUGCCCUGCGACCGAAAACGACCUUCAGGAAUCAGCCUGAGUGUUCGCGCCCGAGCCCGAUUGGAAGCAGGUGCGUGGUCGCUUCACUCUCCCCGUGCACACCUUGAGUUAUAGCUCUCGCUGCGCACAGAGGGCACCACACGGGGCCCGACACACACACACACACACACACACACACACACACACACACACACACCAUCACUUCAUGGGGGGGAAACUGAGGCUGCCGGAAGACAGAAAACGAAGACUGAUCACAGAAGAGGGGGCUUCAAUCACAGGUGCUCGCAGACACCCCAACUCCCUCACGCGUUACUCAGCACUCCUUAACUUAGGAGACGUGCGCUUCCGAGAGAUGAGAAGAAACUAAAAAAGUGGUUGGCAGGGCGAAGAGAGGAAGCCGGUAUUUCGGAAGAAGGAGACUUUCGUCUCCGGUACCGGAUAGGGCGAAAAUUCGUUGGGUCGCGGGUGGAGAAUCCGGGGUCCGCCCGCGCGGUGCCGCCCUGUGCUCAGCGAAAGGUGCGCUCAC
Molecule: long non-coding RNA, 1188 nt
Filed under: Homo sapiens (human)
Lineage: Eukaryota; Metazoa; Chordata; Mammalia; Primates; Hominidae
Description: HSALNT0390994
Source: RNAcentral